AUGGCAGUGCCUCGUGGAUUUGCUCAACAAGGAAGAAAUGACACUGCUAGUGUUAUAGGAACUCCAGUGACUGGUAGACAACAAGCUCACACACCUGCAUUCAAUCAGUUUUAUCAGCAAAACAGAGAUAGGCAACUUUGGCAGGGAUAUUGUAAAACCUAUGAGCAGGAUAUGCAGGCUCAAUUUAUGAAGUCAGUCACCAAAGGGCCUAGGCUUGAUUUUCCUCGCUUUUCUGGAACAGAUCCAGUAGGGUGGAUAAGACAAUGUAACAAAUAUUUCCAAAUGUCUGGAGUUCCAGAGGAGUACAAGGUUUUAUUGGCACAAAUGUAUGUAGUGGAGGAAGUUGAUGUGUGGCUAAGGAGAUCUGGUCUGUUGAAGAAGCAACUCAAUUGGAAAGAAUUUGGAGCAGAAGUAGUCAAAAGAUAUUCUGACAAAGGUUCUUAUGAUUUGGCAGAAAAAUUUAACUCCAUCAAACAAUUGCAUUAUACUGUAUCUGAACACACAAAAAUGUUUGAAGAUCUCAUGGCAGAUGUGCAAGAGGAAAACCCUGAGCUGGGAGAACUGUGGUUUGUGAGGUGUUAUGUGAAUGGUCUCACAGAGGGAAUUAAAUUCCAACUUAGACCUUUCAAACCUCAAACUCUGACAGAUGCUUACUGUAUGGCAAAAGACAUAGAACCAAAUCACCCACACAUAGCCACUACAAGCAAGAAGUAA
RNAcentral lists this ribosomal RNA (714 nucleotides) under Triticum aestivum (bread wheat). RNAcentral describes it as "partial small subunit ribosomal RNA". The record is from RNAcentral. Lineage: Eukaryota; Viridiplantae; Streptophyta; Magnoliopsida; Poales; Poaceae.